AGCGAACGCUGGCGGCAGGCUUAACACAUGCAAGUCGAACGCCAUCUUCGGAUGGAGUGGCAGACGGGUGAGUAACGCGUGGGAACGUACCCUUUGGUUCGGAAUAUUCUCGGGAAACUGGGAGCAAUACCGGAUAAGCCCUACGGGGGAAAGAUUUAUCGCCAAAGGAGCGGCCCGCGUCAGAUUAGGUAGUUGGUGGGGUAAAGGCCUACCAAGCCUACGAUCUGUAGCUGGUCUGAGAGGAUGAUCAGCCACACUGGGACUGAGACACGGCCCAGACUCCUACGGGAGGCAGCAGUGGGGAAUCUUGGACAAUGGGCGCAAGCCUGAUCCAGCCAUGCCGCGUGGAUGAUGAAGGCCUUAGGGUUGUAAAGCUCUUUUACCCGAGAUGAUAAUGACAGUAUCGGGAGAAUAAGCUCCGGCUAACUCCGUG
Molecule: ribosomal RNA, 433 nt
Filed under: uncultured bacterium
Lineage: Bacteria
Description: bacterial SSU rRNA
Rfam family: Bacterial small subunit ribosomal RNA
Source: RNAcentral